RNAcentral lists this small RNA (109 nucleotides) under Marmota monax (woodchuck). Lineage: Eukaryota; Metazoa; Chordata; Mammalia; Rodentia; Sciuridae. The record is from RNAcentral.
GCUGGGCAUGGUGGCACAUGCCUGUAAUCCCAGUGCCUUGGGAGAUUGAGACAGGAGGAUCCCAAGUUCAAAGUCAGCCUCAGCAAAAAAAAGUGAGCCCCUGUCUCUA